CAAAAAAUAUUUGUUAAAUGUUGAUACUUACACGAGGGGUAGGUGUAGAGCGAGGCACAGGCUGCUGCAAAGGAGGAGAAACAGAAGGAGAAGUGCUAGGAGGAGGGUGCUGCAAAGGAGAAGGAGAGGCAAAAGGGCGAGGAGGAGGGUGCUGCAAAGGAGAAGGAGAGGCAAAAGGGGGAGGAGGAGAGUGCUGCAAAGGGCGAGGAGGAGGGUACUGCAAAGGGCGAGGAGGAGAGGCAAAAGGGCGAGGAGGAGGGUGCUGCAAAGGAGAGGGAGAGGCAACUCUUGUUCCAUUUUCUACGACAAGU
Molecule: long non-coding RNA, 311 nt
Filed under: Olea europaea (common olive)
Lineage: Eukaryota; Viridiplantae; Streptophyta; Magnoliopsida; Lamiales; Oleaceae
Description: long non-coding RNA (OEUR_LNC006046)
Source: RNAcentral